UCUCCUUUUCAGCCUCAUCUGGUUUGUGUCCUCAGAGUUCAUGAAAGCUGCUCGAAAACCCCAAGCACAGCGCAACCGACCCAAACACCAUCACAUCAUCACAUCAUCACCCGAACCCACAUCCUCCCCCAAUUUCUUAGCCUCCAAGAGCCUCUUCCCCAUUCCCAGGUAUACAUUAAACAUGCUACUCUUAAUCAUCCCCACCUAUCUCUUAGAAGCCGACCCUUUCUUCUCUUAUCUCCCCCUCACCCGCAAACCAUAAAGGAAGAAGCUCAAAGUUUUGGUUCUAAGCAACAUCACCACGAAGAUCGGGAAGCAGAGACACUCUUCAUCCUCUCUUUACUACAGAAGAAUUUUGGCAACAGAACUUACGAUUCGGGUUUUGGUUCGAGUUCCUGAAGAUGUAGAGUUGAGAUUCAUUGUUACCGUGGAAGCUGUUGCAUGGAAAUUUCUUAACAGAUUGCAGCGUACAGUCAUUCGUGCAGGGAAAAGCAUUCCCAUAGCCAAAAAAAUUCAGAGAUGAAUUUUGAAAGAGCUGUCACGUUGUCUAGAACAAGGCGUGUCCCUGUGAAGGGUUAUUAUUACAUUAUAAGCACUAAACAAUCCCUUAACUUCAUGAAGUUCCGCACCAAGGCAAGGUAUCCAUUUUUAUUUAGCACAUAUGUUCCAACAGGUAUCCAUUAAGAUUUGGAGCUCCAUGUGUUGGCUAAGGGUCAGUAAAUUUCAUGAAAAGAGGUUCUGAACCGUGUUGUGAUUCCUCAUGUCUAUAGCAUUCUGCAUCCAUCUGUAGAUCAUCAUCUUGUGCCUGGCAGGCUUUUCUCUUAUUAUAAUGGCAAGAUGGAGGGAGGACUUAGUCCCAGGUGUGCGAGUCUGUACUGCAAGUUCUGACUAAUUUUACUGUCCCUGAAUUACAGCUUCUGUUUUUACUUAAAUUCUAAUUAUACUUGCUUCAUGUUGGUCAUUGGUUUUGGUGGAAGUGAUUGGUUCACUUAGGGUUAGUGAAUUUCAUUAAAAAAGAGUCCAUUGCUUGGUCCUCAUUAAUUGCUUUUAUGGUAGAUCACUUUUGUUAUGUGUUGUGUCUGCUGAUAGGAUGCAUGAGACUGUAGACUCUUUUCUUACUUACGUACUUGAUGGUUAAUUAGAUCUCCUAUUUCUUUUCUUUUCUUCUUCUUUUUUUCUUUCUUUUUUUCUUUUUUUCUUGCUGUGCUGGUUAAAUUCCAUGAUUUAGUGUUAUAUGUGUCUUUCAAUUUAUAAUUGGUUUGAGUAAUCAGAGACAUGGUAGAUUAUUUUGAUUUAUGUUUCUGCAUUCAUAUUUUAAGAAGCCAGUGCCAAUUCAGGGCUCUUUUGUCACUUCAAGAAUUCUUUUUGGUGUUUUGUUAAUUUAUGAGUACCAAUUCAUCCUGGACCUUUACUUGGUUAUAUACUUCAAAUUGCUUUUUGCUCUGCAUUCUGUUAGAUCAAGCAUAUCUCUUUUAUCUGGGUUGCAUAUUGAGUUAUAGACUAGUCUACUAUGUAUUAAAUUUAACUUCUAUAAUGCAUUGAAGACCUAAUUCUUAAUUGGUUGGAGGAUCAACUUCUUGUGACUGUGAAAUAUGUUUAGGGUAUCAAAAUCAGGGUUUACUUCGAUGAAUAUCGGUUGAGCUAUUUAUUAUAUACAACCAUGAAUAUCUAAACCAGCAGAAGAAUUGAAGUUUAGGUCCAGCAGAAGAAUUGAACUUGCCUGAUGGUCAUUUUUAUUUUUAGCAUGCUGGUUGCUUUAGCUUUUGUCUAUGUGGGAUCAGACUUACAUUGAUGUCCAAAUUUUAGAUCUUGGGAUCAGACUUUUUAUUUUUAGAUGUUUUGCUUAUUACAAACUCUGAGUUUGAAAUUCUUCAGGUUGUUGAAAAUAGGAGAUGCCUAUUAUCAGGAGCACUUGGAACAAUGAUUGACUAUAUGCUUCAAUAGGUCCAUAUGAUUGAAGAAGGCUAAAUCUAAACUUGCACUACAUUUCGGUUACUCAUUUCCAAGCUUGACAAUCGAUUUCUGUUGUAUGGCCUUGGUUUUUAUCCUUGGUACCAGUAUCUUGAUCAUUUUUGUUGUGGAAAACAGUAUGGAACCUGAUUUACUUGUUCACCAUGUUUUCUUUACAGGAUGCACUUCUUGCCAGCUUCACUUCAUCUCUCUACCUGAAUGUCUUCAAUGGUGUGGUUAUGAACUACCUUUUCAUCUGUUGAAUGUCUUCAAUGGUGUGGUUAAGAACUACCUUAAAUUCCUUUGUUGUAUUUAGGUAACUUCUAAUAUGUUUAGGGUUUAGGGAUAUGGGUUUAAUUGAUUGAUGUAAUGAGUUCUACUAAUACAUUUUCAAUUGUUACUUUGUAAAUGAAAUUAAUUAUAAUGAGGGUAAAUGAGUAUGA
Rosa rugosa (rugosa rose) is the source of this 2393-nucleotide long non-coding RNA. RefSeq lists it as uncharacterized. The record is from RefSeq and is a predicted model, not a curated record. Lineage: Eukaryota; Viridiplantae; Streptophyta; Magnoliopsida; Rosales; Rosaceae. The transcript is spliced from 7 exons.